AUGCAGCAACCUGGUAGUAAUAUCGCUCCCAACGCCCACCACUCACCACCUUCCUUGGCUCGUGCUGGGGCUAGAGCUAACUGGUCCCGCUCCGGCCACCACCUCGCCAUGCUCUCCGGCCAAUCACGUCGCCCCCGCCGUGUGAAGGCCCUCGCCAUCCCUGCACCUGGCUCCCAGGGCAUCUUCAGCGACAACACCAGCCACGAAACAAAACUAAGUUCAAUUAGGGUGGACAAGUUCUUCGAAGUGGAGAUGACCGUCCGUGACAGUGAUCUUGACCAGUAUGGAGUCGUUAACAACGCCAUUUAUGUUGCUUACAUCCACAAUGCUCGAGAGAAGCUGGCUGCGAGCAUUGGCUUCAGCAUGGCCUCCGUAGCACACACAGGCAACGCGAUGGCACUCUUGGAACUGAACCUCAAGUACUUCAAGCCUCUACUGCGAGGUACCAAAUUUGUCGUCAAGGUGAGGGUUGUCCAGAUAAAGGGUGUGAGGAUACUUGUUGAACACUUCAUGGAGACACUAUCGGAUCGUGAGCUUGUUUUGGAAGCGAUAGCGACCGUCGUCUGCCUCAACAAGGACUACCGUCCGACCCGCGUCUUCCCGGAGGUGUCAUCCAAGCUGCAGCAGUUCUUCUCAACCUAG
Molecule: ribosomal RNA, 642 nt
Filed under: Triticum aestivum (bread wheat)
Lineage: Eukaryota; Viridiplantae; Streptophyta; Magnoliopsida; Poales; Poaceae
Description: partial small subunit ribosomal RNA
Source: RNAcentral